UAGGGAAUCUUCGGCAAUGGGGGCAACCCUGACCGAGCAACGCCGCGUGAGUGAAGAAGGUUUUCGGAUCGUAAAGCUCUGUUGUAAGAGAAGAACGUGUGUGAGAGUGGAAAGUUCACACAGUGACGGUAACUUACCAGAAAGGGACGGCUAACUACGUGCCAGCAGCCGCGGUAAUACGUAGGUCCCGAGCGUUGUCCGGAUUUAUUGGGCGUAAAGCGAGCGCAGGCGGUUUAAUAAGUCUGAAGUUAAAGGCAGUGGCUUAACCAUUGUGCGCUUUGGAAACUGUUAAACUUGAGUGCAGAAGGGGAGAGUGGAAUUCCAUGUGUAGCGGAGAAAUGCGUAGAUAUAUGGAGGAACACCGGUGGCGAAAGCGGCUCUCUGGUCUGUAACUGACGCUGAGGCUCGAAAGCGUGGGGAGCAAACAGG
Molecule: ribosomal RNA, 429 nt
Filed under: bacterium
Lineage: Bacteria
Description: partial 16S ribosomal RNA
Rfam family: Bacterial small subunit ribosomal RNA
Source: RNAcentral